AGCCCAACACUUACUGAAUUAAUAGUAAAAUUCAACCAUCAACUGAUGACUAUGAAAUAUAAAUCUCUAUACACCACAUACAAUCCCAAAACCAGUAGUACAAGUUAUAAGCUCUAUUAAGUUUUCUAGAAAAUUCCAAAAUGCAACUGUUCGGGAUAGAAAUAAACUGUACAAGAGGAAAUUUCAGAAGGUGACUCUGAGGCCUGCGAACGCAACGAUAGGUUUACCUUGAGUCUCCACAGCAAACCCAAACAACUAGCUAGUGAACAACCAACUUCGAAGUACCUGGAUCUAUACAAAAAUAUGCAGAAGUGUAGAAUGAAUACACCACAGUGAUACCCAAUAAGUAUCAAGACUAACCUCGGUAGAGUAGUGACGAGAGAUAGUACUCCUACUAGACUAAACAACCUGAACAAGUAUGAAGGCGAACUAACAGAGAAACAAUAUUAAUAUAAAGCUAAUUAAGCAUGGUAAGGAGUACAAAACAAUGCUUGCAAUGAUAUACUAGUAACAACAAUUUUUAAUAUGAAGCAAACAGGUAAUAAUGUUGUAGAGUAAGCUAAAUACAAUCUAAGUCCGAUGAAAUCAAAUAAAAGAAAAAUCAAUAACAACUGAAUAAGAAUAAUCACUUUCACACCAGAUUUAUUCAAGAAUUUCCAUGAGGUACCAAAUCUCAUAAUCACAGAUCCCCGGUCCCAAUUCAUGAAUCCUAAUCACUUAGCAUCUUGUGCCCAUAUUACAAUUCAUGAACAAACAGGCGAUUCAUGUACCAAGAGAGUGACAAUAUCUAAUAUCCGCACGGACCACUCAUGUGCCAACAAUAACAAUGACUCAUGACCAUACAGACACUCAAGUGCCAGUAGAACAACUCUCACACAGAAGGUAAGUAGACGAGAGUACAUGUAAAUGGUCUAUAACAUCAGGAUUCAUCUUAUUAAACCUAUAUGGGUGAUUAAAUCAUGUGUAUGCUUGUGCAAGUGUCCUAACAUAACUCAAGUCAACAAGUAAGAGUAGUAACAAUAAAUGGCACAUAAGAAACGAUCACCACAAAAUGUACUAUAUAAUAAAGACAGUAAACAACAAGAUCAACUACACAGAACUAAACAAAUAUUGCAACACGAAGAAGGACAAUUAAUAGUAUGCAAAGGAAACAAUGAUCAAAGACAUGUACAAAAGAAUGAGAAAAUGUCAAUAAGAGUCACUACUGAGGUACCACCUCGUUGUCUCAAAUAACGAAAUGUAUCACAAUCUUUUCUUAUAUCACUGCGGGAGCCUUUACAUUUAGUUUUGAAAAUUAUUUUUCCCAAAAUAGCAUUCCACGUUUUAUCCCACCUUAUCAAAUCGUAUGGCUUCUAGCAGUUCCCCUACUAGUCAAGCGUAUCAAGCCCACCUUAUCUCACCCCAUGCGUUUCAACACCCAGACUUUAUACCACCGCAUGCGUAUCAAUAUCACAACGUAUCACAAUCGGACGUCAAGUGCCCACAAUCACAAUUUGCUAGAGAAACCAAGCAAUAAUAGAAUUUCACAAUAAGGAGCCCACAACUCAACCUCAAUGUACAACAACAACAACUACAACAAUAAUACGAGAAUAUAGCAAGUAAAUAAUCACAAGACCUUCAUAAAUUAAAGAAACGAAAGAACGAGCUCACAAAGAAAGGCACAAUAGGGGAUAAUGGUCUCCACAAGAAUAGCUCAACUAUGGAGAGAUAAUGUGUAUCAAUUAUUCCACAAUAGUACAAUUUGACGACAAUAGAGAUAACAUGAAUAAUUAACUCCAAAUAAGAAUACGUCAAUAAUGAAAUGAAUAACAAACUUCAUUCUCUCAUUACAGAAAGGAUAGCAUGAUAAUAAAAGAGGCAACAACUUCAAUUAAGGCACAUAAGAGUCUAAUCGGUAAUAAGGGUAGAACAUGAAGCAAUUAAUUUUAAAUAAGACACGUAAGGGUGAAUUUAGUAGGGUAAUUUAACAUGACAAAACAACUUUAUAUCUAAUGAACAUAAGAACCUAAGAGCCCUAAAUGGUCAAAUUUCCACAAAUAAGCUCGAGCGCGUACUCGUCACCUCGCGUACGUAGCCUUCACAUGAAACAAUUAGCAUAAAUAACUGAAAUCCUAAUGGGUAGUUCCCUCACACAAAGUUAGGCAAGAUACUUACCUCAAAUAAGCUAGACCGAUACUCUAAAAUGACCUUUUUGAGUGAAACAACCUUCGGAUGACCAAAAUCUAGCAAAAAUAACUUCAAAUCAUAAAUAAAACUCAUAGAAAACAAUUCCUGAUAAUAAAGAUUUGAUCUUUAAUUAAAACUAAAAAGUCAACCCCCAAGACCGCACCUCGAAAUCUCAUAAAAUUCAAAAAAAAAUGAACACUCAUUCCGAUACGAGUCCAACCAUACAAAAAUUAUCAAAUUCUGAUAUCGAAUCGCCCUACAAAUACUCAUUUUACAUUUUGAAUAAUUUUUACAAAGUUUCCCAUUUUCUUCUCUUCAAUUCAAUAAUUUAAUGAUAUAAAUAAGUUUGAAAUCAUGAAAUGUAAACAAUUUCGAAUAUAGAAUUCUUAUAAGCAAUUUCAAAUGUAACCCUUCAAAAAUCGCCCAAAUCUAAGGCAUUUAUCUUAAAAUGUGAUAAAAUAGCCAAACCCUCGAAAUAGAGUUCUUAUAACUCUGCCCAGUCAUUCCUCAUAUGCGACUACGGAAUACACCCCGCGAUCGUGGAAAGAAAAAAUCAGUACUCAUGGAAAUAAGCUAUGCGUUCUCCAAAAGCACCUCGCGAACGCGAUGAACACAUUACAUAACCUUCGCGAACGCAUACCAUAUUUCGCGAAUGCAAUGAGUAACAUUCCACCAGUCCUCAGCUCCCUUAUGUGAAUGCGGAACACACUACGCGAACACGAACAACAACCAGCUAAACCUUCACGAAUGCAUGCCCAUUGUCGUGUUCGCGAUGAGAAAAAUACUAUGUUUCCCAGAAUCACUUCGCUAUCGCAUCUUCAUCUUCGCUAUCACGAAGAGCAAUAGUGACACCCGAAACCAACAACUCAAAUCAUGAAGAAAUGGCCCUAGCCCAUCCGGAACACACCUGAGACCCCCGAGAUCCCGUUGAAAUAUACGAACAAGUUCCAUAACAUAACAUGGACCCACCCUAGGUAUCAAAUCACAUAAAACUAUGUCGAAACUAUGAAUCGUACUACGAAUCGAACUUAUAAAUUUUCCAAUCUUCUAACUUCCAAAACUAGCACUGAAACAUAUCAAAUCAACUCAAAAUAACGUCAAAUUUUGCAUUCAAAUUCCAAAUGGCAUAAAAGCAACUAAUCAAACUCUUGAAAUUGCAUUCCGAUCCCGAUAUCACCAAAGUCAACUCUUGAUCAAACCUCUUAACCUUUUAAAACUUCAACUUUCCAAUUUAGCAGAAAUGCUUCAAAUUAUCCUACGAACCUUUGAAUCUAAAUUCGAACGCAUGCCUAAGUCCAAAAUCAGCAUACGAAGCUAUUAAAAUCAUCAAAACACCAUUUUAGAGUCGUCUACAUAAAAUCAAACUGCAGUUAACUCUUAUUGCUUAAGAUUCUAAAACAAGAAUCCUUCUUCCAAAUUGACCUUGAAUCCUCCAAAACUAAACUCGGGCACACAUGCAAGUGAUAACACAUAAUUCAAAGCUGCUCGAUACCUUACGUUGUCGAACAAGACGAUAAUUUUUAAAACAACCGGCCAAGUCAUUACAAUUGUUGAUUUGAGGAUUGUUGGUGCAGUGCUUAGCAAUUGUGAGGUCGGGCUCAGAUUUGCAAGCAUCGUUUUUGCGAACAAUAGUUUGCAUUUGUGAGUAGUGGCCUCGGCUAGGUGGCAUUGUAUUUGUGAGGAAAUGGUUCACAAUCACAAAUUGGCUGGGACCGCUUUUGCGAUCAUCUUGGUUGCAUUUGCGACCUCUGGAACUUUGGACAACAUCGCAUUUGUGAAGCUUUGGGCGCAUUUGCAAUGGGAGCAGACAUCACAAUUGCGAAGUCAAUGUCGAAUUUGUACCUUCCGUUUUGAAUAACAGGCACUGCAAUUGCGAGUCAUUCUUUGCAAUUGUGAGGGCUCGCAAUUACAAACCCGUAAAUGCAAUUACAACACAUGCGCCUGAACAUAAGGUCUGAAAAUCGAGAUUUGAGUCUCAUGCUCUCAUUUUGGAACCCCAAACUCGGUAGGAGGCGAUUUUGAGAGGGGAUUUUUACCUACAAUUAUUGGGUAAUUGAUUUUGAUCUAUUUUCAAUUAUAUUACACGAUUAUACAUUAGAUUUAACAUCAAAUUCAUGAUAAUAUAAUAGAAAUUUUGGAGAUUUUUAUCUAUGUUUUUAAAAAAUAAAAAUUUGGAAUUUUAGAGUUGAAUUGGACUUGGAUUUUGAAAUAAAAUACAUAAAUAAACUCGUGGGGUUAUAGGUAGUCAAGAUCUACACUUGAACUCGGGUUUUGACCGGGCGGGACCGGACUUGACUUAAAAAACGGUCGUGGUUGAGUGUUAAUUUGGUUGCGGAAAGAGGUAAGUAUUGUGUAUAACCUUGACUUGAGGAAAUUAGGACCCGUUGAUCCAUUUUCUAUGUGAAUUAUGUGGAGAAACGUCGCAUAUCCGAGGUGUCGAGUUUAUAUGCACCGUUGUGGAAUUUAGCAUGAGAGAGUGGGCAAUUUAUUUCCAUAUCUUUGUCAUUCAAUGUUAUUUCUUGUUAUAUGCUUUAAUUAUUGCACUUGACAUCUAUGUUUUACUUGUUCACUUGUUACUUCAUUGUUAUUUACUUGAUUUGUUCAUUUCUCAUUCAAUAAUCUGCUUACUUGCUAUUUGUUCCUACUUGCCUUAUUUGUAUAUUCUCAUUAUCACAUGUUUUACCUACUUUUAUUGUCCUUCUAUUAAUAGAUGUACUCUAUUAUGUUAUUUUGCUUUCGUGAGUCAUUUAGCCAUUCUUGUAUAAUGAGUUGUUAAGGCUUAGAAUAUCGAUGUGUUGGAUAUCUUCCAUUCGUAUUGGUGGGUCAUAAAUGUAUUGUGUGCUCCAUCUUUUUUGGUUUUGAUAUUUCUUAAAUAUUGGUAUUGAGUUGUUUAUGUUAAUAAUUUAAUAUUGUUGGGAUCGGAUUGCGCGCUGCAACGAUAUUGAUAUGAAUUGAUAUUGUGGGAUUAGGCUGCACACCACAGCAGCGUUGAAAUGAUAUGAUAUUGUAAUGACCCGACCGAUUGUUUUGAGAGUUCUAGCCAUGUUUCCCCAUUUAUUGUUCCUUUUUGUAACUUGUCGGGUUUGUCAGUUCGGGUCCGAAGAGGUUUCGAAAUGAAUUGAGACACAUAGUCUCAAAGUUGAAAGCUUAAGUAGAGAAAGUUGACAGGAUAUUGACUUACGUGCAAAUGACUCCAAAAUGGAGUUUUGAUGGUUCUGUUAGCCCUUUGGGUGAUUUCGAACUUAGGAACAUAUCCGGAUUGUGAUUUGAAGGUCCGUAGUGAAAUUAGGCUUCAAAUGGUGAAAGUUGGAAAUUUGAAAAGCUUGACUGGGAGUAGACUUCUUGAUAUCAAGGGCAUAUUGGAAUUUUGGGAUUUGGAGUAAGUCCAAGGUGUCAUUUGUGACUUGUGUACAAAUUUUAGGGUCAAUCGGAUGUGAUUCAAUAGGUUUCGGCGUCGUUAAUAGAAAUUGGAAGUUUAAAGUUCAUUAGGCUUGAAUCAAUGUGUGAUUCAUGUUUUUGAUGUUGUUUGAGGUGAUUUUAGGGCUCGAAUAAAUUCGUAUGAUAUUUUGGGAGACGAUGGUAUGUUUGGUUGAGGUCCUUGGGGCAUCGGGUGAGUUUCAGAUAGUUAACGGAUCAAUAUUGGACUUGGCAUUUCAGUUGAAGACUACUGGUAUUUUGUUACUGGUUUCCUUUUAUGCGAUCGCAUGGGCAGGUCCGCGACCAUGUGUCACGCCUCUUUUUUACCACCCCGAAAGUAGUAUAAGGGAGUUUUUCCAAUUAAAGUGACGUGGAAACGAGAUUAUUUUAUUUAAAAUUCAGAGUUGCCACUUGGGAUAAUUUAUGGUAUCCCAAAUCACCGGUUUAAAAUCCCAAAUCGAGGAAGUUUGACUCUGUUUACGGUUCGCGAACACAGAAAUCCAGGUAAGGAAUUCUGUUAACCCGGGAGAAGGUGUUAGGCAUUCCCGGGUUCUGUAAUUUUAGCACGGUUGCUUUGAUCAUACUUGGCUGGUUAAAUUGUCUAAUUACUUAUUUUAGAAUGGAUUAAAAUGUAUGGCUCAAGUUUUAUACCACAGGGUCCUUGCAUAUGUCUAUGUCCCAUUUAAACUCCAAAUAAUCAGGUUCUUACCAUCGCAUGGCCCAAAUAUCUUAGCUAAUAGUCUGUUUUAUAAUCUAGCCCAUUAUCAAUUAAACCCAGGUCCAAACUAACUCUUCAAAUCAGUCCAUCCUAAAAGACCGAAUCUUUGAGAUAAUCACAGCUCCAUUCUUAAACAUCUUUAUUUUUUACAACUAAUACUUCAUGAAACUUUAGAGAUUUUCUCCAAAUUAUAUUAAACUAAUAAUGAAUAAUGAAAAAUUCAAGCCUUAACUAAUCAUGGAACUAACUUUCCUAUAAAACUAAACCAUUAAAUAUAACUAAAUUAUUUUAAGAAAACUAACCAGGAGCAGAAAAACUAUUGUUGCUUAUGGAUUAAAAGGGAGCAAACAUGUUCUUGCUAAACUUUGAACAAACAAAAGAUAACAAACUAAUGGACAAAAAUAAAGAAAACCUGCUCGAACAGAAAAGAAGCAGCAGCGCUGGAACCAUGCCGGCAACUCGAACGAAACCGACCUCACUCAAACUCCAUCUUGGAAAAGCGAAAAUCCGAAACAAGGAAGAUGAAACAGAACUUUUUAUGUGCUCUAUUUUGUAGUUGUCUUGCGAAUUAGUUUUAGAUGUUAGAAUAGUGACAAACUGAUUUUUGACGGAGCUUAGGACGAAAAGAAGAUGGGAGAUUUUGCUCUCUCUGUUUUCAACAUCUCUUUCUCAUGUGCCUUCUAUUUCGUCUUCUCACUCUAUGUGUGUGCGUGUGUGUGUAUGGCUGCUGGUUCGAUAUGGUAGAGGCAUAGAUGGGGUUGUUUGGUGUGAGGUGAGAGGUUUUCCUAAAGGUCCAUGGCUGUUGUAGCUGUGAUAGAUGAAGAAAAAGAAGCAGUGGCGAUGGGUGGUUGUUGCGGUGGUGUUGCGUAUAGAACUGGUGAACGUUGGUUGUUGCUGAAGGUUUAGGGAUGAAGAAACCGAGGUUCAAGCCAUUGGAAUGUGAAGGAGAGGAGGAGGGUCGUAUGGGGUGGGGUUCGAAAUUGUUCUCUGCUGCUUCUUUAGAUGCUUAUUUUGUAUAUGUUCGUCCAAAUCUAGAAGAAGAACGGCGGAUAGCUAUACGGGUAUAGGUCUUAGAGUCUAGGUAUUUUUUAGGCUAAUUUUGGUUAUAUAGAGAGGGUUUUUAGGUUAAGGGGUAUGAGUUUGGUAUUAUUAGG
Molecule: long non-coding RNA, 7455 nt
Filed under: Nicotiana tabacum (common tobacco)
Lineage: Eukaryota; Viridiplantae; Streptophyta; Magnoliopsida; Solanales; Solanaceae
Description: long non-coding RNA (NTAB_LNC011627)
Source: RNAcentral